UCUGUACCACACGGAUAACAUACCGAAAGGUAUGCUAAUACGAGAUAAAAUACUUUUAUCGCAUGGUAGAAGUAUCAAAGCUUUUGCGGUACAGGAUGGACCCGCGUCUGAUUAGCUAGUUGGUAAGGUAACGGCUUACCAAGGCGACGAUCAGUAGCCGACCUGAGAGGGUGAUCGGCCACAUUGGAACUGAGACACGGUCCAAACUCCUACGGGAGGCAGCAGUGGGGAAUAUUGCACAAUGGGCGAAAGCCUGAUGCAGCAACGCCGCGUGAGCGAUGAAGGCCUUCGGGUCA
This 296-nucleotide ribosomal RNA is filed under the name uncultured bacterium. RNAcentral describes it as "partial 16S rRNA". It matches the Rfam family "Bacterial small subunit ribosomal RNA", at positions 129 to 425 of the family's 1533-position model. The record is from RNAcentral.